CUCGCGGGUCGAUGAAGAACGCAGUUAACUGCGCGUCAUGGUGUGAACUGCAGGACACAUUUGAACAUCGACAUUUCGAACGCACAUUGCGGUCCGUGGAGACACAUCCAGGACCACUCCUGUCUGAGGGCCGGCU
This 136-nucleotide ribosomal RNA is filed under the name Bombyx mandarina (wild silkworm). RNAcentral's name for it is "partial 5.8S rRNA". It matches the Rfam family "5.8S ribosomal RNA", at positions 25 to 154 of the family's 154-position model. From Rfam's summary of the family: 5.8S ribosomal RNA (5.8S rRNA) is a component of the large subunit of the eukaryotic ribosome. Lineage: Eukaryota; Metazoa; Arthropoda; Insecta; Lepidoptera; Bombycidae. The record is from RNAcentral.